This 255-nucleotide ribosomal RNA is filed under the name uncultured bacterium. RNAcentral describes it as "partial 16S ribosomal RNA". It matches the Rfam family "Bacterial small subunit ribosomal RNA", at positions 524 to 776 of the family's 1533-position model. The record is from RNAcentral.
UACGAGGGGGGCGAGCGUUGUUCGGAAUUAUUGGGCGUAAAGGGUGCGUAGGCGGUUCCGCAAGUCCUGUGUGAAAUCUUCGGGCUCAACUCGAAGUCUGCACGGGAAACUGCGGGGGCUUGAGUGUGGGAGAGGUGAGUGGAAUUCCCCGGUGUAGCGGUGAAAUGCGUAGAUAUCGGGAGGAACACCUGUGGCGAAAGCGGCUCACUGGACCAUACUGACGCUGAUGCACGAAAGCUGGGGGGAGCAAACAGG